Molecule: ribosomal RNA, 638 nt
Filed under: uncultured Pedobacter sp.
Lineage: Bacteria; Pseudomonadati; Bacteroidota; Sphingobacteriia; Sphingobacteriales; Sphingobacteriaceae
Description: bacterial SSU rRNA
Rfam family: Bacterial small subunit ribosomal RNA
Source: RNAcentral
GGGGCNGCACGGGUAGCAAUACCUGGUGGCGACCGGCGCACAGGUGCGUAACACGUAUAUAAUCUGCCUUUAACUGGGGGAUAGCCCGGAGAAAUCCGGAUUAAUACCCCAUAAUAUAUUGGAUGGCAUCAUUCGAUAUUGAAAGCUCCGGCGGUUAGAGAUGAGUAUGCGUCUGAUUAGUUAGUUGGUGAGGUAACGGCUCACCAAGACUUCGAUCAGUAGGGGAUCUGAGAGGAUUAACCCCCACACGGAUACUGAGACACGGAUCCGACUCCUACGGGAGGCAGCAGUAAGGAAUAUUGGACAAUGCCCGCAAGGGUGAUCCAGCCAUGCCGCGUGCAGGAAGACGGCCCUAUGGGUUGUAAACUGCUUUUACACCGGAGAAAACCCCUUCUCGUGAGGAGGGCUGAUAGUAUGGUGAGAAUAAGCAUCGGCUAACUUCGUGCCAGCAGCCGCGGUAAGACGAANGAUGCAAGCGUUAUCCGGAUUCAUUGGGUUUAAAGGGAGCGUAGGUGGCCUUAUAAGUCAGUGGUGAAAUCCUGCAGCUUAACUGUAGAAUUGCCAUUGAUACUGUANGGCUUGAGUGUAGUUGCCGUUGGCGGANUAUGACAUGUAGUGGUGAAAUACAUAGAGAUGUC